Molecule: long non-coding RNA, 905 nt
Organism: Macrobrachium nipponense
Lineage: Eukaryota; Metazoa; Arthropoda; Malacostraca; Decapoda; Palaemonidae
Exons: 3
Source: RefSeq, a predicted model, not a curated record
UGCAGAGUGAUGUGACAUCCUGUGUAAGUGGAGUCAAUCUAACCCAGUAUUAGGCUAGGCAAAGCUAUUAGGAAAGCUGUAUUGAAUGCACACCUAUAGGGGACACGGGUAGUGUCCCCAUUUAGUACUCAAGUAUAUCCUUGUUUUAUGUUGUUGCAAGAGCCCCUUUAGUCUCUAGUUGAGAUCAUUGCUUGUUUCUACUGUACAAGACCUGUUUUUCCACAGUCGCAGACCCAUCUAAGGAGCUGUUUGGUUCCGUUAGGAAAAGUUGUCCUUGAUAUUAGAGUGGACAUGAAUCAAUUCUUCCCCGAGGGAAAAGCUUUGUAAUGGGAAAAACAUAUUUCUUUAAUUAUUAGUGAUUUAUUUAGGAAUUGAUUCAUCAUCCUCCUCUAAUAUCUUUACACUGCUAUUGUAAGUGAUUGGAACUGUGAAAUGUGUUUCGUGUCUGUUGUGGACGAGUGUGGCAGUGUAGCCAGUCCCUUGUUUUGUUUUUCUCUCACUCGAGUAUGGGAGCGCUGCCCUGAAUCUUUCGUCUGCGUUUUGGUAACACUAGCAACACAUGUAAGAAUCACGAAUGCUCUCGAGUGUUAGGACGUCAACCGGUCCAUUCUUCAUUUUGGCUAUUUUACCAAAUUAAUGAUGCAAAUGAUUAUCUAUCCCUUGCGAGAGAGAAGAAACUCAAACACACACAAACAAAGGAAGAAUAAAACAAGCAAGGGAUCCGUCCUAAAGUAUGGUAUGGCAUCGUCUCGCUGACACCAGGCAUACACUGGUGGACACAUCCUUCCCAGCCUUUCCAGCGCUCAUUUGAACAAUUAUUUGCGUAUUAUAUAUGUAAUGUUUAUUGAUCUUACUCAAGAUUGCAGUUGUAAUCAGCACAAUAAAACAACAUUUUGUUACCCAUA